Molecule: ribosomal RNA, 462 nt
Filed under: Torneuma caecum
Lineage: Eukaryota; Metazoa; Arthropoda; Insecta; Coleoptera; Curculionidae
Description: eukaryotic LSU rRNA
Rfam family: Eukaryotic large subunit ribosomal RNA
Source: RNAcentral
GCUUAUACUCGACCGUCAGCGGCACGUGCGAUCGAAUCUCGCGUUCGAUCACUAAGCCCUGACGAGUAGGAGGGUCGCGGCGGUGAGCGCAGAAGGGCUGGCCGCGAGGCCGUCUGGAGCCGCCGUCGGUGCAGAUCUUGGUGGUAGUAGCAAAUACUCCAGCGAGGCCCUGGAGGACUGACGUGGAGAAGGGUUUCGUGUGAACAGCCGUUGCACACGAGUCAGUCGAUCCUAAGCCCUAGGCGAAAGCCGAUGUCGAUGCGGUGUAGAUUUAGUAAGUAGUAGAGCAGCACAGCAGCAGCAGCGGUAGCAGUAGAAGACGCGUUAUUAAAAUGCGUUUUUUUUUUGCAACAGCAGCGGCAGCGGCUACAAAACAUACAUACAUACACACACACCCGUCGGGCGAAAGGGAAUCCGGUUCCUAUUCCGGAACCUGGCAGCGGAACCGUUAAUAAGUCGGGC